AUUGAACGCUGGCGGCAGGCCUAACACAUGCAAGUCGAGCGGUAACACAGGGAGCUUGCUCCUGGGUGACGAGCGGCGGACGGGUGAGUAAUGUCUGGGAAACUGCCCGAUGGAGGGGGAUAACUACUGGAAACGGUAGCUAAUACCGCAUAACGUCGCAAGACCAAAGAGGGGGACCUUCGGGCCUCUUGCCAUCGGAUGUGCCCAGAUGGGAUUAGCUAGUAGGUGGGGUAACGGCUCACCUAGGCGACGAUCCCUAGCUGGUCUGAGAGGAGGACCAGCCACACUGGAACUGAGACACGGUCCAGACUCUUACGGGAGGCAGCAGUGGGGAAUAUUGCACAAUGGGCGAAAGCCUGAUGCAGCCAUGCCGCGUGUAUGAAGAAGGCCUUCGGGUUGUAAAGUACUUUCAGCGAGGAGGAAGGCGAUAAGGUUAAUAACCUUGUCGAUUGACGUUACUCGCAGAAGAAGCACCGGCUAACUCCGUGCCAGCAGCCGCCGUAA
RNAcentral lists this ribosomal RNA (504 nucleotides) under uncultured bacterium. RNAcentral's name for it is "partial 16S ribosomal RNA". It matches the Rfam family "Bacterial small subunit ribosomal RNA", at positions 30 to 523 of the family's 1533-position model. The record is from RNAcentral.